CCUGGAUGUUUUCAACUACAAACCAGGAAACAGCAGAGAAACUUAAGGAGAAGCACCAGGAGGAACGUAAACCGGCACAGAUGAAGCUAUUAGGCCAAAAGCUUUCAGCUACCACAACCCAGGAAACAGCAAAGCAGAAAGACUGGGUCAAUCAAAAACUAUCACAGGUAAGCCAAGACAGAAUCCCAGCUGACGUAAAGCACAAGGUUGAGAUGCGGGAACGAAAUGUGGCUGAGGGCCGAUCAUCUGUGAAAGCCUGUAAACCUUCACAGGGCAGCUUGGACCGCAGAACGUUGGAGAGCGAUGGCGUACUCUCGGAAAUCAAUUCAAAAUCAUCCAAAAUGGAGAAAAUUCAACAGAAAAGGGAAAAACCA
Molecule: long non-coding RNA, 374 nt
Organism: Scomber scombrus (Atlantic mackerel)
Lineage: Eukaryota; Metazoa; Chordata; Actinopteri; Scombriformes; Scombridae
Exons: 4
Source: RefSeq, a predicted model, not a curated record